GUGAACGCUGGCGGUAGGCCUAACACAUGCAAGUCGAACGGCAGCACAGUAAGAGCUUGCUCUUACGGGUGGCGAGUAGCGGACGGGUGAGGAAUACAUCGGAAUCUACUUUUUCGUGGGGGAUAACGUAGGGAAACUUACGCUAAUACCGCAUACGACCUACGGGUGAAAGCAGGGGAUCUUCGGACCUUGCGCGAUUGAAUGAGCCGAUGUCGGAUUAGCUAGUUGGCGGGGUAAAGGCCCACCAAGGCGACGAUCCGUAGCUGGUCUGAGAGGAUGAUCAGCCACACUGGAACUGAGACACGGUCCAGACUCCUACGGGAGGCAGCAGUGGGGAAUAUUGGACAAUGGGCGCAAGCCUGAUCCAGCCAUACCGCGUGGGUGAAGAAGGCCUUCGGGUUGUAAAGCCCUUUUGUUGGGAAAGAAAAGCAGCAGGUUAAUACCCCGCUGUUCUGACGGUACCCAAAGAAUAAGCACCGGCUAACUUCGUG
Molecule: ribosomal RNA, 491 nt
Filed under: uncultured bacterium
Lineage: Bacteria
Description: partial 16S ribosomal RNA
Rfam family: Bacterial small subunit ribosomal RNA
Source: RNAcentral